Nycticebus coucang (slow loris) is the source of this 1322-nucleotide RNA transcript. It is a transcript of the gene named adiponectin receptor protein 1-like, with no coding region annotated. The transcript has a single exon. NCBI's taxonomy places the organism in Eukaryota, Metazoa, Chordata, Mammalia, Primates, Lorisidae. The record is from RefSeq and is a predicted model, not a curated record.
AUGUAGUCCCACAAAGGAUCUGUGGUGGCACAGGACAACCGGGCUCCUGCCAGUAACAGGGAAACUGACACAGUGGAACUGGCUGGACUGGGACCCCUGCUAGAAGAGAAAGGCAAGCGAGUAAUUGCCAACCCAACCAAAGCUGAAGAAGAGCAAACAUGCCCAGUGCCCCAGGACGAGGAGGAAGAGGCGGGUACUGACACUUCCCCUGCAAGCCCACCAGGCCAUGGAGAAGCUGGAGGCGUUUGUGUCUAAGGUCUGGGAGGGACACUGGAGAGUCAUCCCAUAUGAUUGCUCCCUGACUGACUGAAGGACAAUGACUAUCUGCUACAUGGCCAUAGACCACCCAUGCCCUCCUUCCGGGCUUGUUUCAAGAGCAUCUUCCGCAUCCACACAGAAACUGGCAACAUCUGGAGCCAUCUGCUUGGUUUUGUGCUGUUUCUCUUUUUGGGAAUCUUGACCAUCCUUAGACCAAAUAUGUACUUCAUGGCCCCUCUACAGAAGAAGGUGGUUUUGGGGAUGUUCUUUUUGGGUGCAGUGCCCUGCCUCAGCUUCUCCUGGCUCUUCCACACUGUCUAUUGUCAUUCAGAGAAAGUCUCUCGGACUUUUUCCAAACUAGACUAUUCAGGGAUCGCUCUAUUGAUUAUGAGGAGCUUUGUCCCCUCGUUCUAUUACUCUUUCUACUGCUCCCCACAGCCACGGCUCAUCUACCUCUCUGUUGUCUGUGUCCUGGGCAUUUCUGCCAUCAUUGUGGCACAGUGGGACCGGUUCGCCACUCCUAAGCACCAGCAGACAAGAGCAGGAGUGUUCCUGGGACUUGGCUUGAGUGGUGUUGUGCCCACCAUGCACUUUACUAUCCCUGAGGGCUUUGUCAAGGCCACCACAGUGGGCCAGAUGGGCUGGUUCUUCCUCAUGGCUGUGAUGUACAUCACUGGAGCUGGCCUUUAUGCUGCUCGAAUUCCUGAGUGUUUCUUUCCUGGAAAAUUUGACAUAUGGUUCCAGUCUCAUCAGAUUUUCCACGUCCUGGUGGUGGCAGCAGCCUUUGUACACUUCUUUCUAGGGCCUGGAUCUGCAUACACAGCAGGAAGAAUAAAGCCACCAACUUUUACAUAGCCCGGCUAAUCAUGGAAGUGUGUCCAGGCUUAAAAUAACUUGAGUUUUAAUUUUUUUUUCUUGGCAGAGUAAUGUAAAAUUAAAGUGGGGAAAGAUAUUUAAUAUUUAAUACUAAGCUUUAAAAAGAAACAUGCUAUCAUUGCUAUGUAUCUUAAUGCAAAGACGAUGAUGAUAAUAAAAGAAAGUACAGAAGACACUUGGCAUUCAAA